GGCAACGUAGUCUAAUGGCAAGGCCUGGGUUUGCAAAACCCAUAAUAGCAGUUCAAAUCUGCUCGUUGCCU
Molecule: transfer RNA, 71 nt
Filed under: Sphaeropleales sp. YC001
Lineage: Eukaryota; Viridiplantae; Chlorophyta; Chlorophyceae; Sphaeropleales
Description: tRNA-Cys
Rfam family: tRNA
About the family: Transfer RNA (tRNA) molecules are approximately 80 nucleotides in length. Their secondary structure includes four short double-helical elements and three loops (D, anti-codon, and T loops). Further hydrogen bonds mediate the characteristic L-shaped molecular structure. tRNAs have two regions of fundamental functional importance: the anti-codon, which is responsible for specific mRNA codon recognition, and the 3' end, to which the tRNAs corresponding amino acid is attached (by aminoacyl-tRNA synthetases). tRNAs cope with the degeneracy of the genetic code in two manners: having more than one tRNA (with a specific anti-codon) for a particular amino acid; and 'wobble' base-pairing, i.e. permitting non-standard base-pairing at the 3rd anti-codon position.
Source: RNAcentral